UGAGCCAGCCGGGCAGUCGCGGCGCCUUAAACGUGGCGUCGAGGAAAGUCCGGACUCCACAGGGAAGGGUGGUGGGUAACACCCACCCGGGGUGACCCGCGGGACAGUGCCACAGAAAUCAAACCGCCGGCCGUUAGGCCGGUAAGGGUGAAACGGUGGUGUAAGAGACCACCAGCGGCUGGGGUGACUCAGUCGGCUAGGUAAACCCCACCCGGAGCAAGGCCAAGAGGAAAGACCGAGAGGUCUGACUGCGCGAACGAUGAGGGCGUCCCGUCCGAGUUCGCGGGUGGGCCGCAUCAGGUUUCCGGUAACGGAGGCCGCAGAUGGAUGGCUGCCGUCGGCUUCGGUCGGCACAGGAUCCGGCUUAUAGGCUGGCUCAUCCC
RNAcentral lists this RNase P RNA (383 nucleotides) under Candidatus Nanopelagicales bacterium. RNAcentral's name for it is "RNase P RNA component class A". It matches the Rfam family "Bacterial RNase P class A". Rfam says of the family: Ribonuclease P (RNase P) is a ubiquitous endoribonuclease, found in archaea, bacteria and eukarya as well as chloroplasts and mitochondria. Its best characterised activity is the generation of mature 5'-ends of tRNAs by cleaving the 5'-leader elements of precursor-tRNAs. The record is from RNAcentral. Lineage: Bacteria; Bacillati; Actinomycetota; Actinomycetes; Candidatus Nanopelagicales.